UUCUUGCAAUUCUAAAUAAGGACCAAUUACCUUCCACUACCAGUUAUUCUGCUUCACUAAGAGGCCAAUGACACCAGUAAAAUAUAAUUACAUUGGUAAUUAUGUCAAACCAUUUAUUGUGAAAUCGAAUCAAUAUUAAAAGUCAACAUCACAAAUCAAAAAGCUCCUUCAAUAGUCCCGAUUUCUUCCUUGGCUGCUCAAAUUUAAAGCAUACAUUUGGGAAAACAAUACAAACCAUUUAUAUAUAAUUGAAAAACUAGUGCUAAUAUUAUAACACAAAUGUUUUACCAGUAAUUAUGAAAACAUCAAUCGUUUUCAAAAUAUUUAAUGUGCCCAUCAUAACCAAACAUAUUUAACUAGAUCCUCCAGACUGAAAUUAACAUAUUAAAAGCAAAACUAAUCUAGCGUGGAAUAGAUUUUAAUUUAAAAACAGUAGGAUCUCAUACCAAAGACUUGAAUGUUUUGUUUGGAUUGUAACCAAACGAAAAAUUAUAUCACUGCAAGUUAUGUUACAUCUUUUUGUGCUAGGUACAUAAUUUUCUAUUUGAAGGUUUGUAUCCUGUAGAAUAUCAUACUGAGGUCAAUCAGUUUCAUGCAAAUGAUAAUCCAGCAUUUUUCAGCCAUCAACAGCCAAACAAAAGACAAUAGUACAUCCCACUUACCAAGUACUUUAGAAUAAAGAGUAUUGUUCUACCUAUUAACUGAGAUCAAAGACCAAGUUGAAAAUGCCAACUGUAAAACAAAUGAACCUCCAAAUAUGAGGCCUAGCUGUAUGGACCAAAAUUUUGGAAUGGACACUGGAAGAGUCAAGGCUUAGGCAUAGGUCAAAAUGUAAAGGCUGAGACAAAGGUCACAAGUGUACAGAUCAUCAGCUAAACAGUGUGAAUAUUUCAAAAAGGAUGAACAAUUUUGAACUUGUAGUGUGGAUCUUCUCAUGUUUUAGCCAUAGAAACAAGUCAAAAUGAACACAAAGGAACCGACUGACAACUUUAUACAAGGAUACGUACAUAGUUCAAAUUUUACCAUAUUUGUCUUAAAUACCUACUUCAUUAAAAUUUAUAUAUUCCUGUACCCUUCGGUGUUAUAUAACACAUUUAUUAACUAAAAGCUGGCUUAAAUUUCCUAUAGUAUACAAUGGCUCAUGUGUUCUAUUUUCAAAAUUCAAAUCAUGGAGAACUACUGUAAGACAUAAUUUAUACUCACAAUAUA
Molecule: long non-coding RNA, 1209 nt
Organism: Mytilus californianus (California mussel)
Lineage: Eukaryota; Metazoa; Mollusca; Bivalvia; Mytilida; Mytilidae
Exons: 3
Source: RefSeq, a predicted model, not a curated record